This 507-nucleotide ribosomal RNA is filed under the name uncultured bacterium. RNAcentral describes it as "bacterial SSU rRNA". It matches the Rfam family "Bacterial small subunit ribosomal RNA", at positions 501 to 1009 of the family's 1533-position model. The record is from RNAcentral.
CUACGUGCCAGCAGCCGCGGUAAUACGUAUGUCACAAGCGUUAUCCGGAUUUAUUGGGCGUAAAGCGCGUCUAGGUGGUUAUGUAAGUCUGAUGUGAAAAUGCAGGGCUCAACUCUGUAUUGCGUUGGAAACUGUGUAACUAGAGUACUGGAGAGGUAAGCGGAACUACAAGUGUAGAGGUGAAAUUCGUAGAUAUUUGUAGGAAUGCCGAUGGGGAAGCCAGCUUACUGGACAGAUACUGACGCUAAAGCGCGAAAGCGUGGGUAGCAAACAGGAUUAGAUACCCUGGUAGUCCACGCUGUAAACGCUGUCGAUUUGGGGAUUGGGCCUUGAGCUUGGUGCCCGAAGCUAACGUGAUAAAUCGACCGCCUGGGGAGUACGGCCGCAAGGUUAAAACUCAAAUGAAUUGACGGGGGCCCGCACAAGCGGUGGAGCAUGUGGUUUAAUUCGAUGAUACGCGAGGAACCUUACCCGGGCUUGAACUAACGGUGACGAAUCUAGAGAUAG